RNAcentral lists this ribosomal RNA (402 nucleotides) under uncultured bacterium. RNAcentral describes it as "bacterial SSU rRNA". It matches the Rfam family "Bacterial small subunit ribosomal RNA", at positions 975 to 1375 of the family's 1533-position model. The record is from RNAcentral.
CUGGGUUUGAAGUGCAGGUGUAAGCCUCAGAGAUGAGGUCCCCUCUUCGGAGGCGCCUGUAUAGGUGCUGCAUGGCUGUCGUCAGCUGGUGUCGUGAGAUGUUGGGUUAAGUCCCGCAACGAGCGCAACCCUUGUCCAUAGUUACUAACGGGUAGUGCCGAGAACUCUAUGGAGACUGCCGGUGAUAAACCGGAGGAAGGUGGGGAUGACGUCAAGUCCUCAUGGCCUUUAUGUCCAGGGCUACACACGUGCUACAAUGGACGCUACAAAGAGUCGCGAUGCCGCGAGGCGGAGCUAAUCUCAAAAAGGCGUUCUCAGUUCGGAUUGGGGUCUGCAACUCGACCCCAUGAAGUCGGAAUCGCUAGUAAUCGCAGAUCAGCACGCUGCGGUGAAUACGUUCCC